CCAAUAGCGUAUAUUAAAGUUGUUGCAGUUAAAAAGCUCGUAGUUGAACUUCGGGGUCUACCCAUUGGUCAGGCUUAAUUGUCUGCACUGGUGAGAUGGAUCUCUACCUUCUGAGGAACUUUCAUGCCAUUUAUUUGGUGUGAUGGGAAAUCAGGACUGUUACUUUGAAAAAAUUAGAGUGUUUAAAGCAGACUAUCGUCUGAAUACAUUAGCAUGGAAUAAUGAAAUAGGACGGACUGAUUCUAUUUCGUUGGUUUCUAGGAUCACCGUAAUGAUUAAUAGGGAUAGUUGGGGGCAUUAGUAUUCAAUUGUCAGAGGUGAAAUUCAUGGAUUUAUUGAAGACUAACUACUGCGAAAGCAUUUGCCAAGGAUGUUUUCAUUAAUCAAGAACGAAAGUUAGGGGAUCGAAGACGAUCAGAUACCGUCGUAGUCUUAACCAUAAACUAGGCCGACUAGGGAUCGGACGAAGUUAAUUUUAUAAUGACGCGUUCGGCACCUUACG
RNAcentral lists this ribosomal RNA (502 nucleotides) under uncultured Diversispora. Its description in RNAcentral is "SSU rRNA". It matches the Rfam family "Eukaryotic small subunit ribosomal RNA", at positions 591 to 1092 of the family's 1831-position model. Lineage: Eukaryota; Fungi; Glomeromycota; Glomeromycetes; Diversisporales; Diversisporaceae. The record is from RNAcentral.